Molecule: long non-coding RNA, 851 nt
Filed under: Mytilus galloprovincialis (Mediterranean mussel)
Lineage: Eukaryota; Metazoa; Mollusca; Bivalvia; Mytilida; Mytilidae
Source: RNAcentral
AACCCGAGACACCAAUAUAAUCCCAAGAGCUCUGCUCGAGGGAUUAUACUGGUUGAGGGUUGAUACGGUGUGUGAUAUUGAAAAAGCCAUAUCAUAUACAAUUUAUUAUAUACAUAUACCUCAAGUAGAUGUUUUUUAUGUGACAUGACAUCAUACAGAUAAGGUUUGAAAUGACGUCAUACAGAUUAUAGGUUUGACAUGACGUUAUACAGAUUAGGGUUUCGAUGCAACAGUGACUGCAAUUGAUGAUGUGACGUCAUACAGAUUAAAGGUGUGAUAAAGCUUUUGCAACCGUGCUGAUAUCGAUAUCAUCACGGGUGGCUGAUACAGCACGCUUGCCAUUGAUUGUAUUACACAUACAAUUUAUCUGUAUUUACUACUAAGUAUAUAAUAAAUAGAGAAUAUCAUAUGGGGUUUCAAUAUCGCAUCCGUAUCAACCCGAGACACCAAUAUAAUCCCAAGAGCUCUGCUCGAGGGAUUAUACUGGUUGAGGGUUGAUACGGUGUGUGAUAUUGAAAAAGCCAUAUCAUAUACACUUUAUUAUAUACAUAUAUCUCAAGUAGAUGUUUUUUAUGUGACAUGACGUCAUACAGAUAAGGAGGAUUGAAAUGACGGCAUACAGAUUAUAGGUUUGACAUGACGUCAUACAGAUUAGGGUUUUGAUAAAGCCUUUGCAACAGUGACUGCAAUCGAUGACGUGACGUCAUACAGAUUAAAGGUGUGUUUAAGCUUUUGCAACCGUGCUGAUAUCGAUAUCAUCACAGGUGGCUGAUACAGCACGCUUGCCAAUGAUUGUAUUACACAUACAAUUUAUCUGUAUUUACUACUAAGUAUAUAUUAAAUACAUAUAU